RNAcentral lists this ribosomal RNA (253 nucleotides) under uncultured bacterium. RNAcentral describes it as "partial 16S ribosomal RNA". It matches the Rfam family "Bacterial small subunit ribosomal RNA", at positions 524 to 776 of the family's 1533-position model. The record is from RNAcentral.
UACGGAGGGUGCAAGCGUUAUCCGGAUUCACUGGGUUUAAAGGGUGUGUAGGCGGAUAUUUAAGUCAGUGGUGAAAUCUCCGGGCUCAACCCGGAAACUUCCAUUGAUACUAUUUAUCUUGAAUUCUGUUGAGGUGGGCGGAAUACAUCAUGUAGCGGUGAAAUUCUUAGAUAUGAUGUAGAACACCGAUUUCGAAGGCAGCUCACUAACCAGACAUUGACGCUGAGGCACGAAAGCGUGGGGAUCAAACAGG